This 82-nucleotide transfer RNA is filed under the name Gasterosteus aculeatus (three-spined stickleback). It matches the Rfam family "tRNA". From Rfam's summary of the family: Transfer RNA (tRNA) molecules are approximately 80 nucleotides in length. Lineage: Eukaryota; Metazoa; Chordata; Actinopteri; Perciformes; Gasterosteidae. The record is from Rfam by way of RNAcentral.
GUUGUUGUGGCCGAGAGGUUAAGGCGAUGGACUCGAAAUCCAUUGGGGUCUCCCCGCGCAGGUUCGAGUCCUGCCAGCAACA